This 410-nucleotide ribosomal RNA is filed under the name uncultured Methylomirabilota bacterium. RNAcentral describes it as "bacterial SSU rRNA". It matches the Rfam family "Bacterial small subunit ribosomal RNA", at positions 1025 to 1434 of the family's 1533-position model. Lineage: Bacteria; Methylomirabilota (SeqCode). The record is from RNAcentral.
AACGUGGAGACAGGUGGUGCAUGGCUGUCGUCAGCUCGUGUCGUGAGAUGUUGGGUUAAGUCCCGCAACGAGCGCAACCCUCACCCCUUGUUGCCAUCAGGUCACGCUGGGCACUCUAGGGGAACUGCCCCGGUCAACGGGGAGGAAGGUGGGGACGACGUCAAGUCAUCAUGCCCCUUACGUCCUGGGCUACACGCGUGCUACAAUGGCCGGUACAAAGGGAUGCAAGACCGUGAGGUGGAGCUAAACCCAAAAAGCCGGUCUAAGUUCAGAUUGGAGUCUGCAACUCGACUCCAUGAAGGAGGAAUCGCUAGUAAUCGCGCAUCAGCACGGCGCGGUGAAUACGUUCCCGGGCCUUGUACACACCGCCCGUCACACCACGAAAGCCAGCUGUACUCGAAGUCGCUGAG